UAACCCUGAAAACACAGAGAAUGG
RNAcentral lists this non-coding RNA (24 nucleotides) under Cricetulus griseus (Chinese hamster). Lineage: Eukaryota; Metazoa; Chordata; Mammalia; Rodentia; Cricetidae. The record is from RNAcentral.